RNAcentral lists this ribosomal RNA (260 nucleotides) under uncultured bacterium. RNAcentral describes it as "partial 16S ribosomal RNA". It matches the Rfam family "Bacterial small subunit ribosomal RNA", at positions 97 to 354 of the family's 1533-position model. The record is from RNAcentral.
GGCGGACGGGUGAGUAACGCGUGGGGAACCUGCCCUGUACCGGGGGAUAGCAGCCGGAAACGGCUGAUAAUACCGCAUAAGCGCACGAAUGUCGCAUGACAUGGUGUGAAAAACUCCGGUGGUAUAGGAUGGACCCGCGUCUGAUUAGCCGGUUGGUGGGGUAAAAGCCUACCAAAGCGAAGAUCAGUAGCCGAGUUGAGAGACUGACCGGCCACAUUGGGACUGAGACACGGCCCAGACUCCUACGGGAGGCAGCAGAC